RNAcentral lists this ribosomal RNA (270 nucleotides) under uncultured Eubacteriales bacterium. RNAcentral's name for it is "uncultured Clostridiales bacterium partial 16S ribosomal RNA". It matches the Rfam family "Bacterial small subunit ribosomal RNA", at positions 69 to 339 of the family's 1533-position model. The record is from RNAcentral. Lineage: Bacteria; Bacillati; Bacillota; Clostridia; Eubacteriales.
AGUCGGCCCCGCAAGGGACUGACUUAGUGGCGAACGGGUGAGUAACGCGUGAGCAACCUGCCUUUCAGAGGGGGAUAACGGCUGGAAACGGUCGCUAAUACCGCAUGACGUGUUCGGAUGGCAUCAUCUGAACAUCAAAGAUUUAUCGCUGAAAGAUGGGCUCGCGUCUGAUUAGAUAGUUGGUGGGGUAACGGCCUACCAAGGCGACGAUCAGUAGCCGACCUGAGAGGGUGACCGGCCACAUUGGGACUGAGACACGGCCCAAACUCC